CAAAGAGAACUACCAAGGGAAAGUUCCGGAGUGUGAUGAUUCCUAGGGCAGAAUUGCACCGUGCACAACCCAACCCACUGGUCUUUCAACUUGAUGGACACGAGCCCUUCCUUCCUGUGAGCAGGGACCUACCCGGAGAUGGCUCAGAUUGGGGCUGUCAAGCCCUGCUCGGACUCAGCCACGUCCCUCACCAUUCCCCGGCUCAGGGCCGCGCCCCGCUCUGGGUCAGAAAGGUGAGGAAGCGCGGACUGUUCGCAGCUGCCGAGAUUCGUGCUGCUUGGAGACCACCCCGAGAGGAGUGUUGGUGCCAACUCCCUGUUUGCUGCUGCUGAAGUUCCUGCAGGUACUUAACUGGGUCUUUCCGGGUGUUUCCUGGACCCAGUGAGCCAGAGCUCCCCAAUCCUGUGCGUGACAGACAGCCAUGGAAAACAGAGAAAGAUGAACAGCCUUCCAGAGAAGGCGUUCUACAGAAGCACCCUUCCCUGCUCUCCUGAGUGCCCAACGCCCCACUGAGGCCGCGCUUCUCCCCGGCCGGCAUCCCUAGGAGUUCCGCAGGCGCAGGGAGCAGGACAAAGUGUGCUCACCCCUUUUCCAAGGCAAAAGUCAGAAUUCUCGGGGCGCCUGGGUGGCUCAGUGGGUUAAAGCCUCUGCCUUCGCUCGGGUCAUGAUCUCAGGGUCCUGGGAUCGAGCCCUGCAUCGGGCCCUCUGCUCAGCAGGGAGCCUGCUUUCCUUCCUCUCUCUGCCUGCCUCUCUGCCUACUUGUGAUCUCUGUCAAAUAAAUAAAAUCUUAAAAAAAAAAAAAAAGUCAGAAUUCUCAAGCUUGGCUCUUGCUGUCAGCAUCUCUCCCUCUGUUGCUGCUGUGCCCCGGGGAGGCGGUGGCAGGGUCUACCGUCACCUGAGGAUCCUGUUAUAGGAGGAUUUGCAGCACGUCACUGCAGGGAGACUGAGGCAGAGAGAGUUCUGGCCAACGUCAAGGCCAACGCCAACAUGAGAGCGUGGGAGGGGCUUUCACCGCUGAGUGUGCAAUAAGGAAGGAGGUGAGAUCCCCUGAUGGACUGACUUUAUUUUGCUGCUUGGUGAUAAGCAUCGAAAGGCUGCAUUCAGCUGAACCUGCACAUACCAGGCCAAUCGAAUUCUCCUCAGUAGUAGCUGCUACCCAAGGAGCUUUUUCUCAAAACGCUGGGAAUUUCCUUUCCCUGAUAGAUAAGUAGGUGUCCUUAGAGAGGGUUUGGCAUAUGGAUUUAAAUGCUGGUGCCUGGGCUCAGAGCCAGAGGCCAUUAAGCAGAUACUGCUGAUUCCUCAUUGGGGGUGGGACAAAGCUUUUAAGGUGAGCUACGGAGACAGUCCUCAAGAUUUCAGGCAAGGAUAUUGUGGGGUUUAUUUUUCCUGUUUGGUUAGGGCAGGAAUGGUUUACAGCCCAUGAAACAGAUGCCAGAGAUGUCACUCACCUCCACGUUGCAGGUCCCAGCUUUGGUCCUAGUUCUUGGGCAGUGGGGCACCUACUUUUUUUUUCUUUCACUGAAAUAUGUCCUCUGCUGGGUUCUCUUUCUUUGUCAGUGUGCACAUACAACUUGUGAUGGUUAAUUUGAUGUGUCAGCAUGAAAGUUGUUUUUGGUUGAGAUUAAUAUGAGGUGGACGAACUUGGAGUAAAGCAGAUUGUGGGUGGGCCUCAUCCAAUCAGUUGAUGGCCUGACUAGAACAAAAAGACUGGUCUCCCUAAGCAGGAAGAAACACUGGAGCAGACAGCCUUCAGACUAUGUCUGCACCACGGGCCCUCUUGUCUCCCACCUUCUGACCCACACUGCAGACUUGGACUUGUCAACUUCCAGAAUCACGUGAAAGAACUUACAAGUCUCUUUCUCUGGGGUCGCCUGGGUGGCUCCAUCAGUUAAGUGUCUGCCUUCAGCUCAGGUCAUGAUCCCGGGGUCCUGGGGUCACGUCCCACAUCGGGCUCCCUGUUUGUCAGGGAAACCGCUUCUCCCUCUGCCCUGCUUGUGCUCUUACUCUCUCGCUCUCUGUCAAAUAAAUAAACAAAAUCUUUAAAAAAUUCCUUUCUCUCUAUAUAUUCUACAUAUAUCCUGUUGGUUCUGUUUCUCUGGAGACCCCCGAUGGAUACACAAGUGUUCCCAAACACUCAAGUACUUCUGGAAACAUCGUCUACUAAAUGCAAUGCUAAGUUUAAAAAAAAAAAAAAAGUAUUUGCUGAAUGUUAGAAUUUCAUUUUAAAGAUUGUUGUGUUUUUAAGUUGAUAAUCUCAUGUCUUCCUAAUGAUCGGUAGUUUUAUUUUUUAAGUUCUGCAUUGCUCUCAUUGGCCAAUAAAUACUACAGUGUUUCUGAGUCUAUAAGAAA
Mustela lutreola (European mink) is the source of this 2349-nucleotide long non-coding RNA. RefSeq lists it as uncharacterized. Lineage: Eukaryota; Metazoa; Chordata; Mammalia; Carnivora; Mustelidae. The transcript has 3 exons. The record is from RefSeq and is a predicted model, not a curated record.